GCAGAACGCGAAGAACCUUACCAGGUCUUGACAUCCUCUGCCAACCCUAGAGAUAGGGCGCUCCCCUUCGGGGGACAGAGUGACAGGUGGUGCAUGGUUGUCGUCAGCUCGUGUCGUGAGAUGUUGGGUUAAGUCCCGCAACGAGCGCAACCCUUGAUCUUAGUUGCCAGCAUUCAGUUGGGCACUCUAAGGUGACUGCCGGUGACAAACCGGAGGAAGGUGGGGAUGACGUCAAAUCAUCAUGCCCCUUAUGACCUGGGCUACACACGUGCUACAAUGGAUGGUACAAAGAGCUGCGAACCCGCGAGGGUAAGCGAAUCUCAUAAAGCCAUUCUCAGUUCGGAUUGUAGGCUGCAACUCGCCUACAUGAAGCCGGAAUCGCUAGUAAUCGCGGAUCAGCAUGCCGCGGUGAAUACGUUCCCGGGUCUUGUACACACCG
This 439-nucleotide ribosomal RNA is filed under the name uncultured bacterium. RNAcentral describes it as "bacterial SSU rRNA". It matches the Rfam family "Bacterial small subunit ribosomal RNA", at positions 954 to 1392 of the family's 1533-position model. The record is from RNAcentral.